UACGGAGGGUGCUAGCGUUGUUCGGAAUCACUGGGCGUAAAGGGCUCGUAGGCGGCCAACUAAGUCGGACGUGAAAUCCCUCAGCUUAACUGGGGAACUGCGUCCGAUACUGGAUGGCUUGGAUUUGGGAGAGGGAUGCGGAAUUCCAGGUGUAGCGGUGAAAUGCGUAGAUAUCUGGAGGAACACCGGUGGCGAAGGCGGCAUCCUGGACCAAUAUUGACGCUGAGGAGCGAAAGCUAGGGGAGCAAACGGG
Molecule: ribosomal RNA, 253 nt
Filed under: uncultured bacterium
Lineage: Bacteria
Description: partial 16S ribosomal RNA
Rfam family: Bacterial small subunit ribosomal RNA
Source: RNAcentral